Molecule: non-coding RNA, 29 nt
Filed under: Rattus norvegicus (Norway rat)
Lineage: Eukaryota; Metazoa; Chordata; Mammalia; Rodentia; Muridae
Source: RNAcentral
UCUCAUUGCUGUUGUGUUCUCUCUGAGGA